Molecule: transfer RNA, 72 nt
Filed under: bacterium
Lineage: Bacteria
Also listed under: 3 other names
Description: tRNA-Thr
Rfam family: tRNA
About the family: Transfer RNA (tRNA) molecules are approximately 80 nucleotides in length.
Source: RNAcentral
GCCCACGUAGCUCAGUGGAAGAGCGCAUCCUUGGUAAGGAUGAGGUCACCGGUUCGAUCCCGGUCGUGGGCU